Molecule: long non-coding RNA, 292 nt
Filed under: Ananas comosus (pineapple)
Lineage: Eukaryota; Viridiplantae; Streptophyta; Magnoliopsida; Poales; Bromeliaceae
Description: long non-coding RNA (ACOM_LNC024128)
Source: RNAcentral
ACCGGUACACUUCGCCCAGACCGCAAUUUUUGCGUUGUUUCGAUUCUAUUUCGCACCGGUCGAUACUAAAACCUUUCUUACUCUUCUUUAACUCACUUUUAACCCUUCCAACAUUAUUGGAACACUGAAUGGAACUUGCCCAACCAUUUCUUUCUCACACUUUAGUCAAUUUGGCUAAAAUUCGAUAUUUUCUACUAAGUUUCGGUUCUUUAUAUUCUCCACCUUUUAAAAUUAGUUUCGUCCGCGAAACUAACUUAACUAAGAUCUAGAUUCAUACCUUAAUCCAGAUUCU